Molecule: ribosomal RNA, 1225 nt
Filed under: Mogannia minuta
Lineage: Eukaryota; Metazoa; Arthropoda; Insecta; Hemiptera; Cicadidae
Description: 16S ribosomal RNA
Rfam family: Archaeal large subunit ribosomal RNA (bases 1000-1159)
Source: RNAcentral
UUGUUUUUAUUUUUAUUUAAUUUUUAAAUUUAAAAUUUUGAAAAAACUCUUAAGUUAAAGUAAUUUUUAUUGAAACAAUGUUUAAAAUAAAAACUGUAAAGGUUUAAUUAAUAUAAUAGAUUAAGUAGAGACAUAGCUUGUACCUUUUGUAUCAGGGUUAAUUAAUUUAAUUUAAUUAUUUAUUUUUCCCGAAAUAUAAUGAUUUAUAAUAAUUUAUUAGUCAUUGUUUCAUAAAUGUUAAUGAAAUUAUUAUAGAAAUGAAAUUUUUUCGAAUUAUGUUAUAUCUGGUUUUUCAAGAGAUGAAUUUAAUUCAGAAGAAUUAUUAUUACUUAAUAUUAUUUAGUAAGUUUUAUUUUUCUUUAAAUAUAUUAAGGAUAAGCUUAAUAUAUAUUUUAUAAUUUAUGAAUUUAUUUAUUUUUAAUAGGCCUAAGAACAGCCAUUUUAUGAUUAAGUUAUAUUUCAAUGUUACAUUUUAUUUAUUUUAAUAAAUUUAGAUCAAUAUUGAAAAAUUUAAGUUAAUUUAUUAGUUAUAAUUAUAAUGAUUAUAUUAGUAUAAUAUAAAUAUAAUAUAUUUAUGAAUUCGGCAAAAUUAUGCUUUCACCUGUUUAUCAAAAACAUGUCUUUUAGAUUAUAUUAAAAGUCUAAUCUGCCCAAUGAUUCUUUAAUGGCCGCGGUAAACUGACCGUGCGAAGGUAGCAUAAUAAUUAGUCUUUUAAUUGAAGGCUUGAAUGAAUGAUUGGAUGAAAAGCUAUCUUUAUUAAUAUAAAAAUUUUAAUUUAACAUUUAAGUAAAAAGGCUUAAAUAUUUUAGUGGGACGAGAAGACCCUAUAGAAUUUUAAAUUUAUAAUUAUUAAAUUUAUCUAGAUAAAUAUUAAAUUUAAUAAUUGUGAAUUUUUUGUUGGGGUGACAUUAAAAUAUUAAUAACUUUUAAUUAAAUUUUCAUAGAUAAAUGAUUAUUAGAUCCAAAUUUUUUUGAUUUUAAGAUUAAAUUACCUUAGGGAUAACAGCGUUAUUAUUUUAAAAAGUUCUUAUUGAUAAAAUUAGAUUGCGACCUCGAUGUUGGAUUAAGAAAAGAACUUGGUGCAAGUUUUAAGUAUCUAGGUCUGUUCGACCUUUAAAUUCUUACAUGAUCUGAGUUCAAACCGGCGUGAGCCAGGUUGGUUUCUAUCUUCUUAAAUAUUUUAUAUAUUAGUACGAAAGGACCAUAUAUAAUAAUUAUAAUUAU